UACGUAGGGGGCGAGCGUUACCAGGAUUUACUGGGCGUAAAGGGGGCGUAGGCGGCCGUGAAAGUCCGGUGUGAAAACUCACGGCUCAACCGUGGGACUGCGCUGGAAACUACACGGCUUGAGGACGGUAGAGGGAGACGGAACUGCUGGUGUAGGGGUGAAAUCCGUAGAUAUCAGCAGGAACGCCGGUGGAGAAGUCGGUCUCCUGGGCCGUUCCUGACGCUGAGGCCCGAAAGCUAGGGGAGCAAACCGG
RNAcentral lists this ribosomal RNA (253 nucleotides) under uncultured microorganism. RNAcentral describes it as "partial 16S ribosomal RNA". It matches the Rfam family "Bacterial small subunit ribosomal RNA", at positions 524 to 776 of the family's 1533-position model. The record is from RNAcentral.